UGCAGGUAUCAAUCACAAACAGAUUCU
This 27-nucleotide unclassified non-coding RNA is filed under the name Mus musculus (house mouse). RNAcentral describes it as "oocyte_clustered_small_RNA8509". The record is from RNAcentral. Lineage: Eukaryota; Metazoa; Chordata; Mammalia; Rodentia; Muridae.